CGGUUUACGCUGUCACUUAUAGAUGGGCCCGCGGCGCAUUAGCUAGUUGGUGAGGUAAUGGCUCACCAAGGCGACGAUGCGUAGCCGACCUGAGAGGGUGAUCGGCCACACUGGGACUGAGACACGGCCCAGACUCCUACGGGAGGCAGCAGUAGGGAAUCUUCCGCAAUGGACGAAAGUCUGACGGAGCAACGCCGCGUGAACGAAGAAGGCCUUCGGGUCGUAAAGUUCUGUUGUUAGGGAAGAACAAGUACCAGAGUAACUGCUGGUACCUUGACGGUACCUAACCAGAAAGCCACGGCUAACUACGUGCCAGCAGCCGCGGUAAUACGUAGGUGGCAAGCGUUGUCCGGAAUUAUUGGGCGUAAAGCGCGCGCAGGUGGUUCCUUAAGUCUGAUGUGAAAGCCCACGGCUCAACCGUGGAGGGUCAUUGGAAACUGGGGAACUUGAGUGCAGAAGAGGAAAGUGGAAUUCCAA
This 477-nucleotide ribosomal RNA is filed under the name bacterium. RNAcentral's name for it is "bacterial SSU rRNA". It matches the Rfam family "Bacterial small subunit ribosomal RNA", at positions 208 to 672 of the family's 1533-position model. The record is from RNAcentral.